Molecule: transfer RNA, 72 nt
Filed under: Urocitellus parryii (Arctic ground squirrel)
Lineage: Eukaryota; Metazoa; Chordata; Mammalia; Rodentia; Sciuridae
Also listed under: 2 other names
Description: Spermophilus parryii (Arctic ground squirrel) tRNA
Rfam family: tRNA
About the family: Transfer RNA (tRNA) molecules are approximately 80 nucleotides in length. Their secondary structure includes four short double-helical elements and three loops (D, anti-codon, and T loops).
Source: Rfam by way of RNAcentral
GGGGAUAUAGUUCAGUGGUAGACCACUUGCCUAGCAGUCAAGAGGCCUUGGGUUCAGUCUCCAUCAUCGCCU